AGGGGGACAACAGUUGGAAACGACUGCUAAUGCCGCAUGACACAUAGAUGUCGCAUGGCAUUUAUGUCAAAGAUUUAUCGCUGAAAGAUGGCCUCGCGUCUGAUUAGCUAGUUGGUGAGGUAACGGCCCACCAAGGCGACGAUCAGUAGCCGGACUGAGAGGUUGAACGGCCACAUUGGGACUGAGAUACGGCCCAGACUCCUACGGGAGGCAGCAGUGGGGAAUAUUGGGCAAUGGGCGCAAGCCUGACCCAGCAACGCCGCGUGAAGGAAGAAGGCUUUCGGGUUGUAAACUUCUUUUGU
Molecule: ribosomal RNA, 302 nt
Filed under: uncultured bacterium
Lineage: Bacteria
Description: bacterial SSU rRNA
Rfam family: Bacterial small subunit ribosomal RNA
Source: RNAcentral